AGCGGCGCACGGGUGAGUAACGCGUACGCAAUCUGCCCUUCAGUGAGGAAUAGCCCUGGGAAACUGGGAUUAAUACCUCAUAAUAUUAUUUAUUCGCAUGGAUGAAUAAUUAAAGUUCUGGCGCUGAAGGUUGAGCGUGCGUCUGAUUAGCUAGUUGGUAGGGUAACGGCCUACCAAGGCGACGAUCAGUAGGGGGCGUGAGAGCGUGACCCCCCACACGGGUACUGAGACACGGACCCGACUCCUACGGGAGGCAGCAGUAAGGAAUAUUGGGCAAUGGAGGCAACUCUGACCCAGCCAUCCCGCGUGAAGGAUUAAGGCCCUAUGGGUUGUAAACUUCUUUUGUUUGGGAAGAAAUCAGGACAUUUAUGUGCUGUUGACGGUACCUUACGAAUAAGCACCGGCUAACUCCGUGCCAGCAGCCGCGGUAAUACGGAGGGUGCAAGCGUUAUCCGGAAUCACUGGGUUUAAAGGGUGCGUAGGCGGUUUGAUAAGUCAGAGGUGAAAGCUAGCAGCUUAACUGUUAAAUUGCCUUUGAUACUGUCAGACUUGAAUCAAGUUGAGGUAGGCGGAAUGUGACAUGUAGCGGUGAAAUGCAUAGAUAUGUCAUAGAACACCAAUUGCGUAGGCAGCUUGCUGGGCUUGAAUUGACGCUGAGGCACGAAAGCGUGGGGAUCAAACAGGAUUAGAUACCCUGGUA
Molecule: ribosomal RNA, 700 nt
Filed under: uncultured bacterium
Lineage: Bacteria
Description: bacterial SSU rRNA
Rfam family: Bacterial small subunit ribosomal RNA
Source: RNAcentral